This 404-nucleotide ribosomal RNA is filed under the name uncultured bacterium. RNAcentral describes it as "bacterial SSU rRNA". It matches the Rfam family "Bacterial small subunit ribosomal RNA", at positions 28 to 399 of the family's 1533-position model. The record is from RNAcentral.
GACGAACGCUGGCGGCGUGCCUAAUACAUGCAAGUCGAACGCACUCUCGUUUAGAUUGAAGGAGCUUGCUCCUGAUUGAUAAACAUUUGAGUGAGUGGCGGACGGGUGAGUAACACGUGGGUAACCUGCCCUAAAGUGGGGGAUAACAUUUGGAAACAGAUGCUAAUACCGCAUAAAACCUAACACCGCAUGGUGUAGGGUUGAAAGAUGGUUUCGGCUAUCACUUUAGGAUGGACCCGCGGUGCAUUAGUUAGUUGGUGAGGUAAAGGCUCACCAAGACCGUGAUGCAUAGCCGACCUGAGAGGGUAAUCGGCCACACUGGGACUGAGACACGGCCCAGACUCCUACGGGAGCAGCAGUAGGGAAUCUUCCACAAUGGACGAAAGUCUGAUGGAGCAACGCCG